CCACUUUUGUCAGGGAAGAAACGGUUUGUCCUAAUACGGCGGACUAAUGACGGUACCUGAAGAAUAAGCACCGGCUAACUACGUGCCAGCAGCCGCGGUAAUACGUAGGGUGCAAGCGUUAAUCGGAAUUACUGGGCGUAAAGCGUGCGCAGGCGGCUUUGCAAGACAGAUGUGAAAUCCCCGGGCUCAACCUGGGAACUGCAUUUGUGACUGCAUGGCUAGAGUACGGUAGAGGGGGAUGGAAUUCCGCGUGUAGCAGUGAAAUGCGUAGAUAUGCGGAGGAACACCGAUGGCGAAGGCAAUCCCCUGGACCUGUACUGACGCUCAUGCACGAAAGCGUGGGGAGCAAACAGGAUUAGAUACCCUGGUAGUCCACGCCCU
This 381-nucleotide ribosomal RNA is filed under the name uncultured beta proteobacterium. RNAcentral's name for it is "bacterial SSU rRNA". It matches the Rfam family "Bacterial small subunit ribosomal RNA", at positions 430 to 803 of the family's 1533-position model. Lineage: Bacteria; Pseudomonadati; Pseudomonadota; Betaproteobacteria. The record is from RNAcentral.